AUAUCCCCCACUCCAGUCUCUGAAUUUUCUUACUCGUCAAUGGCGAAACGAAGCUCCUCUUCAUCCCUCUGGUUCUCACCUCUAUCCUCCUUCAUCCUCCCAAGAAGCGGAGAUUCUCUCUUUUACCUCAUAGCCCUCCUCUCCAUUUUCUCUCUCCUCAUCCACCACCUCUCUCUCUCCACAAUCUCCGCCGCCUCCCAUUUCGAAGGCUUCGACGCCGAAGACGAUGAACCCCUCGAUUCCGACGACUCCCUUCUCUCCGAUCUCCCCCUCCGAUCACCUCCUCCUCCCACUACCUUGACUUCUCUCUCCGAUCCCGAAUCCCACCAUGGCCCACCCAAUCCCGCCCCUUCUUCUCCAAACCCAAAUCCAUCUCAGCAACCGUCCGAUCUCCCUCCUACGAAAACCUCACCCACUUCCUUCGAUUACUGGGAUGAAGAUGAAUUCGAAGGCUUGCCUCUACAAACACCCCCGGAACCAGCCCAAAUUACUGAAAAUGCCACUGAUGCUGAAAAAGAUGAAAAAGAGUCUAAACCCAAAUCAAAUAUUGUAAAGGGUCCUAGAUCUUAUACGAUUGAGAUCGUUUGUGUUGCUUUCUUAAUUAUGUUCUUGAUCAAUUAUUUUACUGGUAG
RNAcentral lists this long non-coding RNA (632 nucleotides) under Panax ginseng (ginseng). RNAcentral describes it as "long non-coding RNA (PGIN_LNC004958)". Lineage: Eukaryota; Viridiplantae; Streptophyta; Magnoliopsida; Apiales; Araliaceae. The record is from RNAcentral.